UGAGCAAUCUGCCCUUCUCUUCGGAAUAAGCGUGGGAAACCGCGUCUAAUGCCGAAUACGACCUCCUUUCGCAUGAUCGGAGGUGGAAAGCUCCGGCGGAGAAGGAUGAGCUCGCGGCCUAUCAGCUAGUUGGUGUGGGUAAUGGCCCACAAGGCGACGACGGGUAGCUGGUCUGAGAGGACGACCAGCCACACUGGAACUGAGAUACGGUCCAGACCUCCGUAGGGAGG
Molecule: ribosomal RNA, 230 nt
Filed under: uncultured bacterium
Lineage: Bacteria
Description: partial 16S ribosomal RNA
Rfam family: Bacterial small subunit ribosomal RNA
Source: RNAcentral